AUGGAAAGCGGCGGACGGGUGAGUAACGCGUGGGCAACCUGCCUUUCACAGAGGGAUAGCCAAAGGAAACUUUGAUUAAAACCUCAUAAAGCCGGAAUAGUGCAUAAUAUACUGGCCAAAGAUUUAUCGGUGAAAGAUGGGCCCGCGUCUGAUUAGCUAGUUGGUGGGGUAACGGCUCACCAAGGCAACGAUCAGUAGCCGACCUGAGAGGGUGAUCGGCCACAUUGGAACUGAGACACGGUCCAAACUCC
RNAcentral lists this ribosomal RNA (251 nucleotides) under uncultured Eubacteriales bacterium. Its description in RNAcentral is "uncultured Clostridiales bacterium partial 16S ribosomal RNA". It matches the Rfam family "Bacterial small subunit ribosomal RNA", at positions 88 to 339 of the family's 1533-position model. Lineage: Bacteria; Bacillati; Bacillota; Clostridia; Eubacteriales. The record is from RNAcentral.